RNAcentral lists this ribosomal RNA (465 nucleotides) under uncultured bacterium. RNAcentral describes it as "bacterial SSU rRNA". It matches the Rfam family "Bacterial small subunit ribosomal RNA", at positions 926 to 1391 of the family's 1533-position model. The record is from RNAcentral.
CAAGCGGUGGAGCAUGUGGUUUAAUUCGACGCAACGCGAAGAACCUUACCUGGGCUCGAAAUGUAGUGGAAUCCGGCAGAAACGUCGGCGUCUAGCAAUAGACCGCUAUAUAGGUGCUGCAUGGCUGUCGUCAGCUCGUGUCGUGAGAUGUUGGGUUAAGUCCCGCAACGAGCGCAACCCUUAUCUUCAGUUGCUACCAUUUAGUUGAGCACUCUGACGAAACCGCCUCGGAUAACGGGGAGGAAGGUGGGGAUGACGUCAAGUCCUCAUGGCCUUUAUGUCCAGGGCUACACACGUGCUACAAUGGCCGGUACAAACCGCUGCAACCCCGUGAGGGUGAGCUAAUCGGAAAAAGCCGGCCUCAGUUCGGAUUGGAGUCUGCAACUCGACUCCAUGAAGCUGGAAUCGCUAGUAAUCGUGGAUCAGCAUGCCACGGUGAAUACGUUCCCGGGCCUUGUACACACC